This is a long non-coding RNA of Gavialis gangeticus (Gharial), 1277 nucleotides long. RefSeq lists it as uncharacterized. The transcript has 3 exons. The record is from RefSeq and is a predicted model, not a curated record. NCBI's taxonomy places the organism in Eukaryota, Metazoa, Chordata, Crocodylia, Gavialidae.
ACAUUAUAACCUGCCUGCCAUCCAAUAACCCCAGAAUGAACAACAGAAUCCAUGUGCCUUCAUAGCUAAUUAUUUAAAGAUAGCUGGAUCUUGGAAUCACAGAAUAGUACUAUUGUGAAAAUUGGUGUUUCAUGCCAUCCCCUCUACUGUUACAAUGAGUGAGGCAAGAAGUAUCAGGUCACCUCCUACCUAAUGGGGUGUCUUAUACCAGAGGCCUAUACUAUACACCUGUAGAGAGCAAAAGGAGUGGAAGUUUCUUGCUUAGCAGCACUGGAGCUGAAACUGUAUCAGCUGCAUUUUAAGUUAUUUUUUUCCUAGCUUUUUGAAAGCUGGAAAGAGGAAAUCAUUCUGGUUUCUUUAUCCUUUUGUCUUCUCAUGAGCAAUUCUAAAGAUUCUUUUAUUACUGAUCAAAAAGUUGCGAGGCCCUGUUGUGCUGUCAUUUGCCAUAUGAUGUGUCAAUGCUGUUACCCGGGGCCAUGUAUUCCUUCCACAGGUAAUCGGUAUGCGUGGUUCAAUGCACUACAGCAAAUAGUGAAUCAAGAGACAAUAGGACAACUCUGUGGGAAAGGCACAAACUACUCCCUAUACGGAUCUGCAGAGCUCCUCUGUAUGCCAAAGAAAUUGUUUGGUUCUGUUCCUCUUUCUCGUUCUUAUGUUCCAUGUGGAUGCUUUCAAACUGAGGUGAGUAACAGCAUAUUAUAUUUAACUGGGAUGAUUAUUAGCAGAUUGAAGUUAUGGAAAUACUAAUAAAAUGAUAUGGAAGGGAGAGAGCUGCGAUGUAAUGAACACAGGAACUUGAUAUUCUGUGGGCAGCAACUACCUGUUGCUUCUGCUGUUAGUUUAUUGUUGAUAACAGUCUUAUUCAAAACAACAUGCCUCUUGCUGCGGCAGAGUUUUAGAGAAAGCUGGCAGGAGCAAAUAAUACUGACUGGAUUUUGCCAUUCUGGCUCCAUGUGGGUAACAGUUGCAUAGUGGUAAUAUGUAGGGAUUGACCUUUACAUAAAUGAAAAUUACACUAGAAUGUUGAUUGGUAAGAACUUUACUUCCAUUAAGCCGUAGGAAUUGCUUCUUGCUGUUUUGGGCAAAAAGGUUUCAUGUAAUUAGAGCUGUAAUUAGAAAUGCCAGCCCUAAUUAUCCGUUACCUACUUUGGUUUGAGGACUAUAGAAAAAUAUUCAUUUUUGACAGAAGUUUCCGCCCUCUAAUUAGUAGUGAGAAGGUUUGGGCAGAAAACAGAGCCUAGUAAUAGGAAAGCCAAUUAAAAGAAGAAGGAAACAAU